RNAcentral lists this ribosomal RNA (693 nucleotides) under Epidinium caudatum. RNAcentral's name for it is "SSU rRNA". It matches the Rfam family "Eukaryotic small subunit ribosomal RNA", at positions 109 to 930 of the family's 1831-position model. Lineage: Eukaryota; Ciliophora; Litostomatea; Entodiniomorphida; Ophryoscolecidae. The record is from RNAcentral.
GUUAUUGUUUAUUUGAUACAACAAAUGGAUAACUGUAGAAAAACUAGAGCUAAUACAUGCUUUAACCGCAAGGUUGUAUUUAUUAGAUAUUCCAGAUUGGUGAAUCAUAAUAACUUCGCAAAUCUCGUUUAUGACGAGAUAAAUCAUCCAAGUUUCUGCCCUAUCAUGCUUUCGAUGGUAGUGUAUUGGACUACCAUGGCUCUCACGGGUAACAGGGAAUUAGGGUUCGAUUCUGGAGAAGGAGCCUGAGAAACGGCUACUACAUCUACGGAAGGCAGCAGGCGCGUAAAUUACCCAAUCCUGACUCAGGGAGGUGGUGACAAGAUAUAACAACGCGAUUUAUAUCGCGAUUGUAGUGAGGGUAUUCUAAAUAGAACCUAUAGUACGAUUAGAGGGCAAGUCUGGUGCCAGCAGCCGCGGUAAUUCCAGCUCUAAUAGCGUAUAUUAAUGUUGCUGCAGUUAAAAAGCUCGUAGUUGGAUUUCAAGGACUGUAAACCCUUCGGGGAAUACAACCUACUAGUCUUAGACUGUUACUGUGAGUAAAUUAGAGUGUUUCAAGCAGGCUUUUGCAAGAAUAUAUUAGCAUGGAAUAACGAAUGUAUUUAGAAUCUUGGUUAAUUCUAAAUUACGAUUAAUAGAGACAGUUGGGGGCAUUAGUAUUUAAUUGUCAGAGGUGAAAUUCUUGGAUUUGUU